AAUAGUGGCGAAAGGGUGAGUAAUGCAAGGGUAACAUGCCCUUAAGCUGGGGAUAACUCCGAGAAAUCGGAGCUAAUACCGAAUGUGGUCCUUUGAUGGGAUCAUUAGAGGACUAAAGAUGGGGACCCUUCGGGGCCUUCCGCUUAAGGAGUGGCUCUUGUCCUAUUAGCCUGUUGGUGGGGUAACGGCUCACCAAAGCAAUAAUGGGUAGCUGGUCUGAGAGGAUGAUCAGCCACACUGGGACUGAGACACUGCCCAGACUCCUACGGGAGGCUGCAGUCGAGAAUCUUUCGCAAUGGGGGAAACCCUGACGAAGCGACGCCGCGUGGAGGAUGAAGGCCCUCGGGUUGUAAACUCCUGUCACUUGGGAUGAAAAGUGGGGCCAUUAAUACCGGUUCUGCCUGACAGUACCUUGAAAGGAAGCUCCGGCUAACUACGUGCCAGCAGCCGCGGUAAUACGUAGGGAGCAAGCGUUGUUCGGAUUUACUGGGCGUAAAGGGUGUGUAGGUUGCUUGGUAAGUCAGUUGUGAAAUCCUUACUGCUCGACAGAAGAAUUGCAAUUGAUACUACCAGGCUAGAGUUCGGUAGAGGAGAGCGGAAUUCUCGGUGUAGCGGUGAAAUGCGUAGAUAUCGAGAGGAACACCAGUGGCGUAGGCGGCUCUCUAGCCCGAUACUGACACUGAAACACGAAAGCGUGGGUAGCGAACGGGAUUAGAUACCCCGGUAGUCCACGCCGUAAACGAUGGGUACUAGGUGCAGGUGGUAUCGAUCCCUUCUGUGCCGAAGCAAACGCGUUAAGUACCCCGCCUGGGGAGUACGGCCGCAAGGCUAAAACUCAAAGGAAUAGACGGGGGCCCGCACAAGCGGUGGAGCAUGUGGUUUAAUACGACGCAACGCGUAGAACCUUACCAGGGCUUGACAUGCUGGUGGUACUGGCUCCGAAAGGAGACAGGACCCUUCGGGGAGCCAACACAGAUGUUGCACGGCUGUCGUCAGCUCGUGUCGUGAGAUGUUGGGUUAAGUCCCGCAACGAGCGCAACCCUUGUCAUUAGUUGCCAUCAGGUAAUGCUGGGGACUCUAAGGAGACUGCCUGUGAUAAGCAGGAGGAAGGUGAGGAUGACGUCAAGUCAUUGUGGUUCUUACGCCCUGGGGUACACAUGCGCUUCAAUGGUGGAUACAAUGGGUAGCAAUGCCUCGAGGUGGAGCCAAUCCCCAAAAG
Molecule: ribosomal RNA, 1219 nt
Filed under: uncultured organism
Description: bacterial SSU rRNA
Rfam family: Bacterial small subunit ribosomal RNA
Source: RNAcentral